Molecule: ribosomal RNA, 253 nt
Filed under: uncultured bacterium
Lineage: Bacteria
Description: partial 16S ribosomal RNA
Rfam family: Bacterial small subunit ribosomal RNA
Source: RNAcentral
UACGUAGGUGGCAAGCGUUGUCCGGAUUUACUGGGCGUAAAGGGAGCGUAGGCGGACUUUAAAGUGGGAUGUGAAAUACUCAGGCUCAACCUGGGGGCUGCAUUCCAAACUGGAAGUCUAGAGUGCAGGAGAGGAGAGUGGAAUUCCUAGUGUAGCGGUGAAAUGCGUAGAGAUUAGGAAGAACACCAGUGGCGAAGGCGACUCUCUGGACUGUAACUGACGCUGAGGCUCGAAAGCGUGGGGAGCAAACAGG